This 404-nucleotide ribosomal RNA is filed under the name uncultured microorganism. RNAcentral's name for it is "bacterial SSU rRNA". It matches the Rfam family "Bacterial small subunit ribosomal RNA", at positions 9 to 416 of the family's 1533-position model. The record is from RNAcentral.
GAGUUUGAUCAUGGCUCAGAUUGAACGCUGGCGGCAUGCCUUACACAUGCAAGUCGAACGGUAACAGGUCUUCGGACGCUGACGAGUGGCGAACGGGUGAGUAAUACAUCGGAACGUGCCCAGUCGUGGGGGGAUAACUACUCGAAAGAGUAGCUAAUACCGCAUACGAUCUGAGGAUGAAAGCGGGGGACCUUCGGGCCUCGCGCGAUUGGAGCGGCCGAUGGCAGAUUAGGUAGUUGGUGGGAUAAAAGCUUACCAAGCCGACGAUCUGUAGCUGGUCUGAGAGGACGACCAGCCACACUGGGACUGAGACACGGCCCAGACUCCUACGGGAGGCAGCAGUGGGGAAUUUUGGACAAUGGGCGAAAGCCUGAUCCAGCAAUGCCGCGUGCAGGAUGAAGGCC